Oncorhynchus kisutch (coho salmon) is the source of this 1406-nucleotide long non-coding RNA. RefSeq lists it as uncharacterized. The record is from RefSeq and is a predicted model, not a curated record. NCBI's taxonomy places the organism in Eukaryota, Metazoa, Chordata, Actinopteri, Salmoniformes, Salmonidae. The transcript is spliced from 2 exons.
CUAGGCUACCCUGCCGCCCCAGUAUACUGUAUGUGUUUUAUGUCCGUCCUACAUGUAGUGUUGAUACAUGGAAUAUUCAUCAACUGCAUAUAUCAUAAAUUGCUAUUGCAAAUAGAAGUAUUAUGUUCAACAACUGACGUUUUCAGUUAUUAUUUUGACACACACACUUUAACACACUUUGGUGCUUACAAUUCAUUCUCUAUUGUCAUAGAUUUGAUGGGCACUGUCAUCUGUGAUCUUUGUGAUAUGACUUUCUUUAAGCACGUACUGAUGAAACUGUCACUUAAUAUUUUUGCUCAAAGUCUACAAACGCUCUACAUUUAUUCACUCUGUGAUAGGGUUGGAUCCUAUAUGCUACUUUUAUUAUUCUCCUGUAAAUGGUUCAGUGCCAAUAAUUUAGGCUGUGUGUAGAAUGGGGCAUAAAGGAAAUUACCUCUACAACUAAAUUACUACCAGAUUAUAGUGAUAAGGAAAACAGCAUACAAAUUUGGCUUGUGUAUUCAUUUGCCUAUAACUAAUCAGAAUUCCAUUAUGUUUCCAUUAAAAAGAGAAUACUUCAAAAUGAGAAGAUCCUGCCAUGGAAAAGACGACUGGUUGGACAUAAAGUGGAAAGGAGGGGAAAUAACUCCCACCAUGCAGCAGGAUACCUUCAGCUGCGGGGUCUUUGUAAUGCAGAUGGACAAGGAAGGAAGUUGCCCAACAUCCCCUCCCAAAUGGAUAUAGAACCUUCACAAAAACACAAGCAGCAACUGCAAAAAGAAAUGGCUGAGGAUUUACUAAAAAUGUCUGGUAUGUAAUGACAUUUAAUUCAAAGUAAAUGUCAAUUCAUUAUUUUUAUGCAGUUGUGUGGGACAGCCAUAUGUUCAGUUCAUGCCUGAGUUCAACAAAGCCAACAACUGCUUUAUGUGUGCCACUGAUAAAGAACCUGAAUGCAGCCCAAAGACUGACUGGGUUAGUAACUUUAUUUAACCUGUUUAUAAUCUUUUGACAACAGAGACGGCAUGUCAGACAAUUUAUGAUAUAACACAAUGGAUGGCUAAUUUGUAAUACUGCAUUGAUAUUUGCUAUUAUUUCUAACAUGUUAGGCUUUGUUUUGAUUGAAUGUUUUGCAUGCCAACGGUGGUUCCAUGUGCUGUGCCUAGGAAUGAAAACAAUAGAGUUCAACAGAGUAAAGAACUGGAAGUGCUGUCUUUGUUGUUGAAAAUGUAUGCUAUUCCCCAUCCACACUGAAGAGGCUCUGACAUGUACAUCAACCAGGGUUAAUGUAUGCUGUACCCCAUCCACACUGAAGAGGCUCUGAAAUGUACAUCAACCAGGGAUAAAAAGAAAGUUAACAUUGUGAAAUGUUUUGUACUUAUUUGAAGUGUCUGUUGACAUGUUGGAAAAGAUUAAAGGUCUACAAUUUG